RNAcentral lists this unclassified non-coding RNA (314 nucleotides) under plant metagenome. RNAcentral describes it as "partial contains 5.8S ribosomal RNA, internal transcribed spacer 2, and large subunit ribosomal RNA". The stretch from base 1 to 105 matches the Rfam family "5.8S ribosomal RNA", at positions 50 to 154 of the family's 154-position model. The record is from RNAcentral.
GAAAUGCGAUAAUUAAUGUGAAUUGCAGAAUUCAGUGAAUCAUCGAUUCUUUGAACGCACAUUGCGCCCCCUGGUAUUCCGGGGGGCAUGCCUGUCCGAGCGUCAUUGCUGCCCUCAAGCACGGCUUGUGUGUUGGGCUUCCGUCCCUGGCAACGGGGACGGGCCCAAAAGGCAGUGGCGGCACCAUGUCUGGUCCUCGAGCGUAUGGGGCUUUGUCACCCGCUCCCGUAGGUCCAGCUGGCAGCUAGCCUCGCAACCAAUCUUUUUAACCAGGUUGACCUCGGAUCAGGUAGGGAUACCCGCUGAACUUAAGC